Non-coding RNA from Camellia sinensis, 860 nucleotides. The record is from RefSeq and is a predicted model, not a curated record. Lineage: Eukaryota; Viridiplantae; Streptophyta; Magnoliopsida; Ericales; Theaceae.
ACUUUAUGCGUCCACAGAAUCGAUUUAUACGGUGUCUUUAUAAAUUCAGAUUUCUUCGAAUUUUCGAAUAUCGUUGUACACCACUUGUAGCUACUGGAUAGGCACACAAAUUCUGUGGAAGCAGAGGCGAGAUUUUUAGUGUUGAAUUUUGGGCUCUCUCUCUCUCUCUCUCUCUCUCUCUCUCUCAAUUGAGUUUAGGGCAAACAACGAGGACUACUUACUGGCUGUGCAACCUCAGUGAAAGUAAAUUAUGGGCUAUAUUGUGAUAUCGUUGCCGGUGAUUUUGUUGUUCUUGAUCGUAGCUAUCGCGGCUUACCUUUUCGGUAGGGCCAGAGGUCGCACUGAAGCAACAGGAGUUCCCCAGUAUUAUGGCCCUCCGGCUCCCCCAUUUGGAGUUCAAUCUCAUGACCCCCAGAAAUAGGGUUUGCACAAGUUGAGUAGUUGUAUAUACCUUGAUACGAAAAUGGACUUGUAGCUAGAAAUAAGGUCACAUUUGAUUUGGGAUAAAUGGGCAGAAUCGGACUAUUUCAUCCUGGAAUAAAACUAUUUCCCAUUAGAUUUUAUGACCCAAGGGCCAUUUAUCCUGUAUAUGUGGAUUAUUGUCCCAGAGAAAAAUUUUAUUGCAAAAUACCUAAAAUAUCCUUGCUGAAAUAUCUUAUCCUACCGCAUCAUUGUAACUGCGAAUCAAACAUAGCCUACCAGAACUUCCUUGUCAUAAUGUAUAGUCUUUGGGGAUUGCAUCAUUGGUGUGUAAUGGACUAGGGGAAAAUUGCAAUUUAGUGUAAGUUUUUAAAUAAAUUGUAAAUCGGUGAUAAAGUUUACUAUUUAAUAAUUGAAAUGAUAUGCUUUUUCAUGAUUUU